Molecule: ribosomal RNA, 584 nt
Filed under: Tomentella sp. YM902
Lineage: Eukaryota; Fungi; Basidiomycota; Agaricomycetes; Thelephorales; Thelephoraceae
Description: eukaryotic LSU rRNA
Rfam family: 5.8S ribosomal RNA (bases 161-315)
Source: RNAcentral
GCAUGUGCACGCUCUGUUUACACAUCCACUCACACCUGUGCACCCUCUGUAGUUCUAUGGCCUGGGUGGGCUCUGUCCUCCUGCUGUAGUUCUACGUCUUUACACACACACUACAACAAAGUAUCAUGGAAUGUAUGCCGCGUUUAACGCAACGAAAUACAACUUUCAGCAACGGAUCUCUUGGCUCUCGCAUCGAUGAAGAACGCAGCGAAAUGCGAUAAGUAAUGUGAAUUGCAGAAUUCAGUGAAUCAUCGAAUCUUUGAACGCACCUUGCGCCCUUUGGCUAUUCCGAAGGGCAUGCCUGUUUGAGUAUCAUGAACACCUCAACUCUCGUGGCUUGCCAUGAUGAGCUUGGACUUUGGGGGUCUUGUUGGUCUGUGAGCCAGCUCCUCUUAAAUGAAUUAGCUUGCCGGUGUUUGGUGGCGUCACAGGUGUGAUAACUAUCUACGCUUGUGGUUUCCCACCAGGUAACCUUCAGCAAUGGAGGUUCACUGGAGCUUAUAAACGUCUCUCCUAUGUGAGGACACAUUUUGACCAUUUGAUCUCAUAUCAGGUAGGACUACCCGCUGAACUUAAGCAUAUCA